CGCCGCAGGUGCGGGGGGCUGGGAGCCCGACGGCCCUCGCCAGCUCCCCGCAGCGCCUGCGCACGGUCCCCCGGUGCCUCCCCGCCCCGCCCGCCCGGAGGCCUGAGCGAGGCGACGCGGGAGGAAUUCGAGCCAUUUCCUCUGCGACGCGCGGUACCGAUGCUGUCCUUAGUUUUCCUAGAUCUUCCCGCCUACCAUGCCCAUGGCCUCUUCUCCACUCUAACUUGCGGGAGGAGCAGCUGUACAGAAAAUGCUCAGCCAACUCAGGGUAAGCUGUGCAGAGGCUGUGGUCCAGGAGAUGGCAGAGCUUGGAACGAGAGGCGCAUCUGAGCCUGAAUUGCUCCAUCCCCGCUGGAUAUUCAGGUUCUUAUCACUUUAUGCAAGAUUGAUUGCUGGACAGUGUCUAUCCCUGAUUGUCCCAUUUUGGAUUGGAUGCCCUCCUCAGGUACAGUCUGCUGUGGCUGAAGAUUGGGGCAUGUUAUACAAAGGAGCUGCCAGGAGCCACAGUCAUGUGUGAGGUCUUUGCACAGGGAGAGGGAUGGAUUGUGUAACCUGGACCAGCACCAUACACAGUGCACUAAAAAGUGGGCUGUUCAGAUCGACUCUGACAGAUGUCCUCUCUGCCUGGACCACCACCCUGCAGAUGUCUCUGUGACUUGCCCCUUUGCCACCGUCUCUACUUCUUUCAGGUCUGCACACAAGUACCCAUUAUCAGGGAGGCCUUCCCCAACACCCACAUCAAAUAGCAUACACCACUUCCACUCUCGAGCCCUUUACUCUGCCUUGCCUGUCUUUAUACCCCUUAUUUAACCUGACACAUAUUUAUUAUUUGUUGUCUGUUUUGGUCACUACAGUAUCUCCUGAACCUAGAACAAUGCCAGGCAUAAAGCAAGGGUUCAACACAUUUGUGCAGAAUAAAUGAUCUCCUUAAGAACAAGAUCUUGCCCUCUUCUACCACACACAACUGAUUAGAGCGGGCACUGAACAUGGAGCUUUGCUGAGGAUGGGCUCUGUAGGAAAUUAUGGGGAGAUACUAAUGAGCGUUCCAGAGCCAGCACUCACUCACAAAUCCUAGCUGUUCUAAAAGGAAUAUCUCUUUAUUGAAUCUAUAACCUCUGUGACUACUACAGAGCUUGUGACCACCAGCUCACACUUUGUUCUUGCCUCAGAGUCUACAUGAAGCUUCCUUAUGGCCUGACAAACUUUUAAGCACAUAUGCUUUAAAAAAUACAUCCUUCUCAGAGCUACACCACUGAAAGGUGUUCCUUCAACAACAGAAAGAUUUAUUACUUUCUUCCCCCACAGAAAAACCACAAAAAUAUUUCCUUCUUGACUGCAGCAGUGAGUUCCAAGUGUCAUUAAAGAACCGAGCAGAUGCUUCCUCCUAGCCCAUGUGGGAAGAAGUUAAGAUGAAGAGCAUUUGAAACUCUAGCACUGCAUACAUGCCCCAUACCUUAUUCCCCCCUGACACAUCUUCUUCCUGUCUGCCCAGGGACAGGGAUGUAGAGCUGUGUGUGAUCUGCCUCGUGCAGCAGCUGGGGCUCUGGAACACCCCUGCCCCUUAUCCGUCUGGUAUUAAUAAUAGAUGGCUCUUAUUGAAUUGUGCACCUGCCAUAAACCAGGCACUGCACCUAACAAAUUGUUUCAAAUUCUUAACCCCCAAACUGCAAAAGAGCUGUAACCUGAGUGUCUGCUCCCUGGACAGCCCCGUAUCCAUAAUAACAGAACCUGUCUUUCUGCCUCUGUCACCAAGAAUCACUUUCCUCCAGUAUAUUUGCAGAAAGGGAGCAGUCUCUCAUCUCCAAAGCCUGUCCAGGCUGCAGCCUCUUCCUCUGCUUUCAUCUGAUCCUAAAUGCCACACUCAGCCAGGGUCACUGUAAUGUGGGCGGAGCCUGUGCUCUGGAGCUGCAUCUUCCCUUGAUGUGACACUGAGGGUGGCCUCAGGAGCGUACUAGGCAGAAUAAUGACACUUAAGAAUGUCCACGUACAGGAACCUGUGAAUAUGUUACCUCACAUAGCAAAAGAACUUAACAGAUGUGAUUAUCCUGGAUUAUCCAGGUGAGCAUGAUAUAAUGAUCAUAAAGGAAAGAGGAAGAGUCAGAGAAGAUGUGGCAACGGGAGCAGACGUCAGAGGGAUGUGAGCCGGGGGCCACGGAAUGCAGGCAGUCUUUAGAGGCUGGAAAGGGCAAGGAAACAGACUCUCUCUUAGAACGUCCGGAAGCAAUACAGCCCUGCUGAUGCCUUGCUUUUAGGUCUUCUGACCUCCAGACCAGUAAGAUAAUAAAUCUGUGGUGUUU
Long non-coding RNA from Manis pentadactyla (Chinese pangolin), 2297 nucleotides. RefSeq lists it as uncharacterized. The transcript is spliced from 4 exons. The record is from RefSeq and is a predicted model, not a curated record. NCBI's taxonomy places the organism in Eukaryota, Metazoa, Chordata, Mammalia, Pholidota, Manidae.